UACGUAGGGGGCGAGCGUUGUCCGGAAUUAUUGGGCGUAAAGCGCGCGCAGGCGGUCCCUUAAGUCUGGUGUAUAAGUGCGGGGCUCAACCCCGUGAGGCACUGGAAACUGGGGGACUUGAGUGCGGGAGAGGAAAGCGGAAUUCCCGGUGUAGCGGUGAAAUGCGUAGAGAUCGGGAGGAACACCAGUGGCGAAGGCGGCUUUCUGGACCGUAACUGACGCUGAGGCGCGAAAGCGUGGGGAGCAAACAGG
This 252-nucleotide ribosomal RNA is filed under the name uncultured bacterium. RNAcentral's name for it is "partial 16S ribosomal RNA". It matches the Rfam family "Bacterial small subunit ribosomal RNA", at positions 524 to 776 of the family's 1533-position model. RNAcentral also lists the same sequence under 1 other name. The record is from RNAcentral.